GACGAACGCUGGCGGCGUGCUUAACACAUGCAAGUCGAACGGUGAAGCGCCUUCCUUUUUGGUGGGUGUGGAUGAGUGGCGAACGGGUGAGUAACACGUGAGUAACCUGCCCCCUUCUUCUGGAUAACCGCAUGAAAGUGUGGCUAAUACGGGAUAUUCUGGGUCUGUCGCAUGAUGGGUCUGGGAAAGAUAUUGUUUCGGUGGGGGAUGGGCUCGCGGCCUAUCAGCUUGUUGGUGGGGUGAUGGCCUACCAAGGCGGUGACGGGUAGCCGGCCUGAGAGGGUGGACGGGCACAAUGGGACUGAGACACGGCCCAGACUCCGACGGGAGGCAGCAGUGGGGAAUAUUGCACAAUGGGCGCAAGCCUGAUGCAGCGACGCCGCGUGAGGGAUGGAGGCCUUCGGGUUGUGAACCUCUUUCGCCAGUGAAGCAGGCCUGCCUCGUUUGUGGGUGGGUUGACGGUAGCUGGAGAAGAAGCGCCGGCUAACUACGUG
RNAcentral lists this ribosomal RNA (494 nucleotides) under uncultured bacterium. RNAcentral's name for it is "partial 16S ribosomal RNA". It matches the Rfam family "Bacterial small subunit ribosomal RNA", at positions 28 to 507 of the family's 1533-position model. The record is from RNAcentral.